This 900-nucleotide ribosomal RNA is filed under the name Caldibacillus debilis. RNAcentral describes it as "bacterial SSU rRNA". It matches the Rfam family "Bacterial small subunit ribosomal RNA", at positions 1 to 881 of the family's 1533-position model. The record is from RNAcentral. Lineage: Bacteria; Bacillati; Bacillota; Bacilli; Caryophanales; Bacillaceae.
UAGAGUUUGAUCCUGGCUCAGGACGAACGCUGGCGGCGUGCCUAAUACAUGCAAGUCGGGCGGAGCCCGAGGGGAGCUUGCUCCUUUUCGGGCUCAGCGGCGGACGGGUGAGUAACACGUGGGUAACCUGCCCGUAAGACCGGGAUAACUCCGGGAAACCGGGGCUAAUACCGGAUAACACCGGGGGCCGCAUGGCUUCCGGUUGAAAGGCGGCCUUUGGCUGCCACUUACGGAUGGGCCCGCGGCGCAUUAGCUAGUUGGCGGGGUAACGGCCCACCAAGGCGACGAUGCGUAGCCGGCCUGAGAGGGUGGACGGCCACACUGGGACUGAGACACGGCCCAGACUCCUACGGGAGGCAGCAGUAGGGAAUCUUCCGCAAUGGGCGAAAGCCUGACGGAGCGACGCCGCGUGAGCGAGGAAGGCCUUCGGGUCGUAAAGCUCUGUUGUCAGGGAAGAAGGCGCGCCGUUCGAACAGGGCGGCGCGGUGACGGUACCUGACGAGGAAGCCCCGGCUAACUACGUGCCAGCAGCCGCGGUAAAACGUAGGGGGCGAGCGUUGUCCGGAAUUACUGGGCGUAAAGCGCGCGCAGGCGGUCCUUUAAGUCUGAUGUGAAAUUCCGCGGCUCAACCGCGGGUGUGCAUUGGAAACUGGGGGACUUGAGUGCGGAAGAGGGGAGCGGAAUUCCCGGUGUAGCGGUGAAAUGCGUAGAGAUCGGGAGGAACACCAGUGGCGAAGGCGGCUCUCUGGUCCGCAACUGACGCUGAGGCGCGAAAGCGUGGGGAGCGAACAGGAUUAGAUACCCUGGUAGUCCACUCCGUAAACGAUGAGUGCUAAGUGUUAGAGGGGAUAGAUUCUUUUAGUGCUGCAGCUCACGCAUUAAGCACUCCACGUGGGGAGU